Molecule: long non-coding RNA, 438 nt
Organism: Medicago truncatula (barrel medic)
Lineage: Eukaryota; Viridiplantae; Streptophyta; Magnoliopsida; Fabales; Fabaceae
Exons: 2
Source: RefSeq, a predicted model, not a curated record
AAAACUAUUAUCUUGGUAUUAACAAAGCAAGAAAUUUUUAUUUAUAAAGUUUAAAAACACAUUUUAUUUAUUAGAUGUAAAGGAGAAAAAUAUGGCUCAAAUUCUUAAACUUGUUUAUGCUUUCACAAUCUUUCUUUUUAUAUUUCUUGUGGUAACCAAUGGACAAGAAUGUAAAGAUGAUGGUGAUUGUCCAACAAAUAUGUGUCUCCCUUCUCUAGUUUCGAAAUGCAUUAAUUUUAUUUGUGAGUGCACACAUUCGAUGAGUACUGAUUAAUAUUAAAAAUACCUAUAUGUUAUUAAAAAGCAUAUAUUUCAAUGGGGUUUACUUUCUUGGCAAGUUUCCUUUUCUUAAAAAAUAAUAAUUUGUAAUAAGUAUACAAUUUAUUUGUACUUCAUAAUUUUCCUCACAGUUUGAUUUAUAUUUUUCUUGCCUUUAAA